RNAcentral lists this ribosomal RNA (491 nucleotides) under uncultured bacterium. RNAcentral's name for it is "partial 16S ribosomal RNA". It matches the Rfam family "Bacterial small subunit ribosomal RNA", at positions 28 to 507 of the family's 1533-position model. The record is from RNAcentral.
GAUGAACGCUAGCUACAGGCUUAACACAUGCAAGUCGAGGGGAAACGGCAUUGAGUGCUUGCACUCUUUGGACGUCGACCGGCGCACGGGUGAGUAACGCGUAUCCAACCUUCCCAUUACUGUGGGAUAACCUGCCGAAGGCAGACUAAUACCGCAUAGUCUUCGAUGACGGCAUCAGAUUUGAAGUAAAGAUUUAUCGGUAAUGGAUGGGGAUGCGUCUGAUUAGCUUGUUGGCGGGGUAACGGCCCACCAAGGCUACGAUCAGUAGGGGUUCUGAGAGGAAGGUCCCCCACAUUGGAACUGAGACACGGUCCAAACUCCUACGGGAGGCAGCAGUGAGGAAUAUUGGUCAAUGGACGGAAGUCUGAACCAGCCAAGUAGCGUGCAGGAUGACGGCCCUAUGGGUUGUAAACUGCUUUUGUAUGGGGAUAAAGUUAGGGACGGGUCCCUAUUUGCAGGUACCGUACGAAUAAGGACCGGCUAAUUCCGUG